This 468-nucleotide ribosomal RNA is filed under the name uncultured bacterium. RNAcentral's name for it is "partial 16S ribosomal RNA". It matches the Rfam family "Bacterial small subunit ribosomal RNA", at positions 28 to 507 of the family's 1533-position model. The record is from RNAcentral.
GACGAACGCUGGCGGCGUGCUUAACACAUGCAAGUCGAACGGAAAGGCCCUGCUUUUGUGGGGGGCUCGAGUGGCGAACGGGGGAGUAACACGUGAGUAACCUGCCCUUGACUUUGGGGUAACUUCAGGAAACUGGGGCUAAUACCGGAUAGGAGCUCCUGCUGCAUGGUGGGGGGUGGGAAGUUUCGGCGGUUGGGGAUGGACUCGCGGCUUAUCAGCUUGUUGGUGGGGUAGUGGCUUACCAAGGCUUUGACGGGUAGCCGGCCUGAGAGGGUGACCGGCCACAUUGGGACUGAGAUACGGCCCAGACUCCUACGGGAGGCAGCAGUGGGGAAUAUUGCACAAUGGGCGGAAGCCUGAUGCAGCAACGCCGCGUGCGGGAUGACGGCCUUCGGGUUGUAAACCGCUUUCGCCUGUGACGAAGCGUGAGUGACGGUAAUGGGUAAAGAAGCACCGGCUAACUACGUG